Molecule: ribosomal RNA, 469 nt
Filed under: uncultured bacterium
Lineage: Bacteria
Description: partial 16S ribosomal RNA
Rfam family: Bacterial small subunit ribosomal RNA
Source: RNAcentral
GACGAACGCUGGCGGCGUGCUUAACACAUGCCAGUCGAACGGAAAGGCCCUGCUUGCAGGGUGCUCGAGUGGCGAACGGGUGAGUAACACGUGGGUGAUCUGCCCCUUACUUUGGGAUAAGCCUGGGAAACUGGGUCUAAUACUGGAUAGGACCAUGCUGGAGGUGGGGUGGUGGAAAGAUUAGUUUCGGCAAGGGAUGAGGUCGCGGCCUAUCAGCUCGUUGGUGGGGUGAUGGCCUACUAAGGCGUCGACGGGUAGCGGGCCUGAGAGGGUGGACAGCCACAUUGGUGCUGAGGUGCGGCCCAGACUCCUACGGGGGGCAGCAGUGGGGAAUAUUGCACAAUGGGGGCAGGCCUGAUGCAGCGACGCCGCGUGGGGGGUGACGGCCUUCGGGUUGUAAACUCCUUUCUGCCAUGGCGAAGCCCUUGUGGUGACGGUAGUGGUAGAAGAAGCACCGGCUAACUACGUG